Molecule: ribosomal RNA, 330 nt
Filed under: uncultured bacterium
Lineage: Bacteria
Description: bacterial SSU rRNA
Rfam family: Bacterial small subunit ribosomal RNA
Source: RNAcentral
CACGCAGGCGGUUAUGCAAGUCUGAUGUGAAAUCUCCGGGCUCAACUCGGAAUCCGCGUUGGAAACUGCAUGACUAGAGUAUUAGAGGGGGAGUCGGAAUUCCUAGUGUAGGGGUGAAAUCUGUUGAUAUUAGGAAGAACACCGGUGGCGAAGGCGGACUCCUGGCUGAAUACUGACGCUGAGGUGCGAAAGCAUAGGGAGCAGACAGGAUUAGACUACCCUGGUAGUCUAUGCUGUAAACGAUGUGCACUUGGUGUUGGGCCGAUUAGGUUCAGUGCCGAAGCUAACGCGAUAAGUGCACCGCCUGGGGAGUAUGCCCGCAAGGGUGAA